CGGGAAGAGAAGCCAGCCCGGACGGCACCCUGGAGACGGGCGCGGAAGGUCCGAGCCUACCCGUGGGUGGGAGACGCCGACGCCGACUUGACAGCGCGUCCCAGCACCACUCGCUCGCUCUCGCUCUCGGGAAAAACUGAGGCACCAAGCUUGGUUCCCGGAGCCAGCGGGGACUGUGGAGACACUGCCAGAAUCCUCAACGGCUUGGAAAUCCUAUCACCUUGGUUCCCUGAGACUUGGAGUAGGAACUGACAGCUGGCUGACAAAAAAAAACUCAUCCAGGGAGAGAAAAGACAUAAGUGAAGUAUGAAAUUU
Leptonychotes weddellii (Weddell seal) is the source of this 315-nucleotide non-coding RNA. The record is from RefSeq and is a predicted model, not a curated record. Lineage: Eukaryota; Metazoa; Chordata; Mammalia; Carnivora; Phocidae.